CCAACGGCCCUCUUUAGGGCCACAACUUUUCCGAGUACUUUGAGG
Molecule: non-coding RNA, 45 nt
Organism: Necator americanus (New World hookworm)
Lineage: Eukaryota; Metazoa; Nematoda; Chromadorea; Rhabditida; Ancylostomatidae
Source: Rfam